Molecule: small nuclear RNA, 97 nt
Organism: Cervus hanglu yarkandensis (Yarkand deer)
Lineage: Eukaryota; Metazoa; Chordata; Mammalia; Artiodactyla; Cervidae
Source: Ensembl
GUGCUUGCUUCAGCAGCACAUAUACUGAACUUGAAACAAGAUAAAGAAGAUCCCUGCACAAGGAUGAAUGCAAGUUCACGAACCAUUCCGUAUUUUG